GAUGAACGCUGGCGGCGUGCCUAAUACAUGCAAGUAGAACGCUGAAGGAAGGAGCUUGCUCUUUCCGGAUGAGUUGCGAACGGGUGAGUAACGCGUAGGUAACCUGCCUGUUAGCGGGGGAUAACUAUUGGAAACGAUAGCUAAUACCGCAUAACAGUAGAUGUUGCAUGAUAUCUACUUAAAAGGUGCAUUUGCACUCCUACCAGAUGGACCUGCGUGGGAUUAGCUAGUUGGUGAGGUAACGGCUCACCAAGGCGACGAUACAUAGCCGACCUGAGAGGGUGAUCGGCCAAACUGGGAAUGGGACACGGGCCAAAAUUCUAAGGGAGGGAGGAGUAAGGAAACGUCGGGAAUGGGCGGAAGGCUGACCGAAGAAAGGCGCGUGAGGGAAGAAGGGUUUCGGAUCGGAAAGGUCUGUUGUAAGAGAAGAACGAGAGUGAGAGUGAAAAGUGCACGCUGUGACGGUAUCUAACCAGAAAGGGACGGCUAACUACGUG
RNAcentral lists this ribosomal RNA (497 nucleotides) under uncultured bacterium. Its description in RNAcentral is "partial 16S ribosomal RNA". It matches the Rfam family "Bacterial small subunit ribosomal RNA", at positions 28 to 507 of the family's 1533-position model. The record is from RNAcentral.